UAACACGUAUCCAACCUGCCGUCUACUCUUGGCCAGCCUUCUGAAAGGAAGAUUAAUCCAGGAUGGGAUCAUGAGUUCACAUGUCCGCAUGAUUAAAGGUAUUUUCCGGUAGACGAUGGGGAUGCGUUCCAUUAGAUAGUAGGCGGGGUAACGGCCCACCUAGUCAACGAUGGAUAGGGGUUCUGAGAGGAAGGUCCCCCACAUUGGAACUGAGACACGGUCCAAACUCCUACGGGAGGCAGCAGUGAGGAAUAUUGGUCAAUGGGCGAUGGCCUGAACCAGCCAAGUAGCGUGAAGGAUGACUGCCCUAUGGGUUGUAAACUUCUUUUAUAAAGGAAUAAAGUCGGGUAUGCAUACCCGUUUGCAUGUACUUUAUGAAUAAGGAUCGGCUAACUCCGUGCCAGCAGCCGCGGUAAUACGGAGGAUCCGAGCGUUAUCCGGAUUUAUUGGGUUUAAAGGGAGCGUAGAUGGAUGUUUAAGUCAGUUGUGAAAGUUUGCGGCUCAACCGUAAAAUUGCAGUUGAUACUGGAUGUCUUGAGUGCAGUUGAGGCAGGCGGAAUUCGUGGUGUAGCGGUGAAAUGCUUAGAUAUCACGAAGAACUCCGAUUGCGAAGGCAGCCUGCUAAGCUGCAACUGACAUUGAGGCUCGAAAGUGUGGGUAUCAAACAGGAUUAGAUACCCUGGUAGUCCACACGGUAAACGAUGAAUACUCGCUGU
Molecule: ribosomal RNA, 716 nt
Filed under: uncultured bacterium
Lineage: Bacteria
Description: bacterial SSU rRNA
Rfam family: Bacterial small subunit ribosomal RNA
Source: RNAcentral